This 586-nucleotide long non-coding RNA is filed under the name Setaria viridis. RNAcentral's name for it is "long non-coding RNA (SVIR_LNC008483)". Lineage: Eukaryota; Viridiplantae; Streptophyta; Magnoliopsida; Poales; Poaceae. The record is from RNAcentral.
GGAGCUUGCAUAGUGCACAAACUGCAAAGGCCAACACAAAAAUACUCCUUUAUCUAAAAUCGUGUUUACGGAAAUAAUUACAUCUUAAGGUGUGCCGUGGUGGGUGAAACUGGAUCAUGAUCCUACGUGUGCGGUCUAUCUGAUCCACCAGCCUGGUCGUUUGCCUAAUUGCUCCCAUGCCUCCUUGCUGAGACUCAGAUGCUCGUAUUAUCGUUCAUCAUAAAAAGGGGGAAAACCAAACAUGCUUUCCCUACCGUGAUCUACUUCUAAACCAAACUUCAGCAGAUUGUUUAGUAGAUAGAAGAAACUUCCAAACUGAAACGGCUGCCACUUUGCCUCAGUACAAAUAUAUGUCGAGGUCUUCCUUACAACUUGGAGAUAAAUGUAAGAUCUCUUUUGAUGGGAGACCAUGGUCAGAUUGUCGUUGAUCUCUUUUGAUGGGAGAACAUGGUUGAUUAACAUGGCCUAGUUGUAAGGAGCGCAACGAUAGAAUUUCAGCAGAUUCACUUCCUUGAAUGAAGUGCCAGAAAUUUUCAUCAUCAUCAUACUAUAUUACAAUCAGAGAGGCCAACUGAACCGGCAUGCA